Long non-coding RNA from Wasmannia auropunctata (little fire ant), 406 nucleotides. RefSeq lists it as uncharacterized. The record is from RefSeq and is a predicted model, not a curated record. The transcript has 2 exons. Lineage: Eukaryota; Metazoa; Arthropoda; Insecta; Hymenoptera; Formicidae.
CGUGCAGCCGCGCAUUGUGAAACAAAGUAUCAACGUCGACAGACAAAUGGAGGUGGACCUACAUUCGCAUACGCCGGCCGCCGAGAAUUGCGUCCUGGCCUAGAACGUCCCAAUAAAUUGUCUCAGGAAUUCGUCAGGGUCGACUCUCUUUCCAGCGCUAAUUCAUUCUAUGUUAUGUGAGACGUUUUUGUGGUAGUGACAUGGACUGACAAUGCUCUUGGCAAUGCUUACAACUCAGGCUGAAUUCAGACACGCGACGAUAAAUGAAUAAACGUUACGUACACGAAUUUUAAUGUUUUACGAUGAACUGUAAGGAUGACUUCUGAUAUUCGAGAAGAUGGAAGUGAUUUGUUUUUUAAUUCUUGCUAGAUAUAAUUCUUGUUAAAAUGAUGCUAAUGAAAUGCUA